UUAAAUUUAUUUUUACACUGGUUUUGGAUUCAUCUUCUAAAAACAAAACAAAAUAAAAAACAUCCCUGAAAGUUCUUUAUCUUGUAAAGAAAAAACCCAUUUGCAUGGAAUUGAGGAUCCCGAGGGAAAUUGUAGUCCAACCACAACUACCUCUAGAACUUUAACCACAACUCAUUUUGCAGUUCAUAAUUCUUAUGUAACAAAAACACCCAAGAGACUUCCACUAUGCAAGGUAUCUUAAAUUAGUUAUUGAAAUUAAGAGUACGGUAAAGGACGGCUAUGAAAGUUAUUUGGCAUUAUUGACCAGAUGGAACCUCAAUAGAAACUCUGAGAUUUUGUUGAUUUAAAAAUUCAUUCAUUCAUAUUGGUUCUCUAAUAGUGAUCAAUUCUGUAAUCACAUAUUAUUUUCCGGUUUUUUUUUUUCUUUUGGGUAUGUCAUUAGCUUUAACUAGUGUAGUUUUUACUGUUUAGCCCAGGUGGAUCUGAAAUAUUAAGAACAGAGCUCUUAGACCUCCUUUUCUGAAAUCUGGUUUAAAUUCUAUCCUUACAACUGAGGUUGACGUCUCGUCAAUACAAGCAGAGUUUGUCUGACUUGAUGUAGCCCAUAAUAAGCAGUUCUUUACGGAUUUUGUUUUUCAAGAACAUUGAAGCAAGUGAACGCUCAAUUCACAGGUCUUGUGCUUUUGCAUCUCUAAUUUAAGACCAGAGCUCUUAGAACUCCUUUUCUGAAAUCUGGUUUCAAUUCUAUCCUUACACCUGAGGACGACUUGUCAAUACAGCCCAUAAUAAACGGUGCAAGAAAAGUUCCUUGAAGAUCUUGUACUAUGGGAAAGAAAGGGCAAAAUGAUGUAAACUAUACAAAAGGAGCAUGCAGGGAUGAACUCUCUUCAAACUUUCAAUUUACUUUUGUUCCUUCAGAUGAAUUGCAUCAUACUCUCUACAUUUGUUUUUUAGUCCACUUUUAAAUUCACAUUUAACUUGUGUUUAGUAUAAAACAAAUAACAAAAGUUCAACAUUAUAUUGGACAAGAUUGUAAGGAAGUUUAAAGUUUUUUGUAGGUGGAAUUCAACUACGUUGUUAUUUCCUAAGAUUUCAUUGUGCAUUAAAACUGGUUAUUAAGCUAUAAAUGCCACCAAGACCUUAUUCUUUGAAAUUUAUUUUCGAUUAUCACAGAAGAGAGGUUUUUUGAUCGAUCAGUAGAUAUGUUUUAUGUACCCUUUUGCUUGAUGCUGAUUAUCAACUUUUAACAAAAUUUCAUUAGACUGUAGGAGUAUAAAGCAGCUCGAGCUAAGUUAUUGCAGCAGGGGUGCUACCAUUACAAGAUCUCGGAGCCAAACUGACCAAAGAAAAUGAUGGCAGGGAACUGAUAGAGCUAUCCACUCUGGAAGAAAAGACAAUUCCUGACGAACUUGUUAAAAUUCAAGCAUACAUAAGUUGGGAGAAAUCAAGGGAAGCUAAUUACACUGUGAGGGAUAUUUAUUCUCCCUGUCUCUCUAACUCACCGGCCCAAAGCAGGCUCAAAAUACGUUGGAGUUGAAAAAAUUCAAAGAAAGCAGAGGGACCUUAUGCAACUUGUAAAUAAAAAUGUCCUCAACAUAUAGAGGAAACAUAUUCAGCUAAGCCAAAAGCCUUGACAUAUGUUAAACUAAAGGAAGAACAUGAUCGUGGUUCUUGUAAUAGAAAAUGCUAGUACGACAAAGAUUCAUUUGACUACAGAUUUGCAGGAUCCAGUUACAGUGUGCUGGUGUUUAUCUAGAACAAAUGUUGGCGAGUGAUUGGUAAAAUGCUAAAACUCUUGUUUCAUUAAAAUUUUUUGGGAGAAGGUGUAGAUACUCUAAUGCAAUUUUUCCAGAAAAAAGUUUAUGUAAUUUGUGGGCAUUUCUAGUCCAUGGGGUCCAGUUUCAUUGAGUCAGGCAGUUGAAGCACAAUUUAUAUCCCUUCUUAAAGGUUCCACAUCUAGAAAUCUUGAUUGAAGGAGGAUAUGGUUAUGUGGUGUGAUUUAUCAUCGUACCCUUUUUUUACACCUAAUUUGCCUCAUCAAUGAAGGAGAGAAUUUUCAUAAAAGGAUAUUGAGGAUGGUAAAGGGUACUGCAAGCCAUUGUUGGAUGGAUAAUAUAGCAGAACUGAAGAGAUUGCAUUUUAAAGCAAAUCACCUGAUAUUCUUCCUUUACAUAUUGAUCUGUUAGGCGGAAAUUUGCCCAGCUGGCUGUUGUGACUCUACUUGAGCAGAAAUUUUGCGCGGAACUCAGCAGCGUUGUAUUUGUCAUGAGGCGUGGUCCCUCAUGCUCAACGAUGAUCAAUCUUGGAAAGGGGCACUGUGUUUGUCAGGUUUCUUCUUUUCACUUUUAUUUUAGCAAUUCUUGCGAUUCUUUUCUGAUGGUAAUGUUCUGAUACCUUUCUCUAGGUCAAUGUGCCUUGACUCGAGGCUAUUGAAUCCUCUUUUUUUCAAGAUGGUCAUUUUCUCUUUCACUAUUGUAUGAAUAGCCUCCUUAGAUAUGAUUUUCCUGACGUAGUGGUGGAUAGAAUGAUAAUAUGGUUACAUGUUUGCUUAGCUUGUGUAAAUAUGAGCAACCAUAUAUAUGUUUGAACCUAACCUAAUGGUAUUAUAUUAUGAACCAAAUAAAUGACCCGUGAAAUAAAUUCUAUUUACAAUCCAAACAUUGGAUUGGGAAGUGGCAAGGCUUUAAACUCUUGGUGGAUAGAAGCUGCGGUUACUCGAAUGGUUCUUCAGAAAUUUAAUUAUGACACUAAUGCUUAAAAGGUCCCAUUAUGUACGGCUCAGAAAAUUUGUUGUAGGUCCCUCUUUUUAUUUUUUCUUUUCCAUCCAGAUACCUGCUUCUCUUCAUCUUGUUCAUAUUUUGAGCUUUUGUGUACUGUCUUCAAUGUCUUCAAUAUCUUAGUAUUAUCGGGGUGGUUUCUAAUCAUUUCUUACUAACAAAGGAACCCAGGAGUGUUGUAUUUGUCAUGAGGUGUGGUCACUCGUGCUCAACGACGAUCAAUCUUGAAAAGGGGCAAAACUUUAUGUAUGUAUUAUUGUGCAUUUUUAACUCCUCCUUCCAUUAUCGAGUGUGAAACGUUAGAGUCUUCCAGUUCUAGCUUCAUGUUCUUGCUUCUUUUUCCUCUUUGCGUGUACAUUACUGCUGCAUUUUCUAUUUACCUGCUUUCUUUUUUUUUUUUUUGGUUGU
This is a long non-coding RNA of Momordica charantia (bitter melon), 3185 nucleotides long. RefSeq lists it as uncharacterized. The record is from RefSeq and is a predicted model, not a curated record. Lineage: Eukaryota; Viridiplantae; Streptophyta; Magnoliopsida; Cucurbitales; Cucurbitaceae.